AAUAAUGAGAUGGGGCCUCUUCAGAUCUUAGGGGCAAUGGCCUACCCAUAACCUGCCUUCUUAGAAUCAUCUACCACAUGGGAAGGACAACUGUCAAUAGGGAACAACCUAUUCUGUCCAGGAAGGCUCUUCCUAUAACUGAAGAUCCCUUGCAUGAAAAGCCUCCAUAGACGGAAGAGGUUCUCCACCACUGAGGGUUGUGUUGUGCAUACAGUGUAUGAAAUAAAAGGGUGGGACUAGUGCAGUCAUCCCCACUCUGUAUAUAAAUAAAUGGUCUCAUUUUCUAAUCAAGCGUAUGUCAUUCUAGUAUGGAAAGCAUAAGUGAGGAUUUGCCUCUAACCUAUCUUCUCAAGCCUGGUGCCCAGAUGUGUGUCCUACAUCUCCCAGAAUUUCUAACCAGUGGCUCUUGAUCUUAUUAAACUAAGUAGUUAGCCAAAGGAGAAACAUGUUAAAUUCAACCAGAGGGUAACACAUUGAGUAUGGUGGAAUGCAAAUAAAAAUCUUUCUCGAAUCAAGUUCAUCAUGUCCAUGCACUUUUCUUGGCAGCAAUGAGCAAUCGAUGUGCCAUUGCCUUUUUAUUCUAAAUAAAUCUGCAUAGGAUUUUAGUAUGAAAUUAAACAACUGGAGUAUAAGUAGAUAAAUCAGUGGGAUUAUGUGUUCAAUAUACACUUGUUUGCUUUUGAAGUUCUGGUUUAAGCGGGUUGAUUUACAGGGAAAUUAAAAAGCAAACAACAUUUUUCCUGUGAAGAGAAGACUUUUCCAUGCAUUCAGUGGAAUUUGCGUAUCAAUUGAACAAGACUGGAUGCUUGCUCUGUUUUUGCCAAGUAAGCAUGCUUGGAGGAAUCUCUGUGCAUACAAAUCCCAUGCAUGGGUCCGACCUAGUUGCUGCAGCUCCUUCCCCCUUUCUAGCUAUUAUAUGAGUGAGCUGAAUAUGAAUCAGUCCCCUAUCAUUGCAGCUGUUCCUGAAUUUACAGGUAAGUGAAACUGAAGCACACUUGCUUCCGGCCUCAAGCUUGCAACUUGCAUCCUUGUUAGGGUCUAAAUGUUAACACAGGUCUUUUCCUGUGGCAAAUUCUCUCUCACACAGGGGCAGUUUACUUGGAAGGAAGUCUUGAAGAAGCCAAACAACUGUUUGGACGCCUACUCUUUAAUGACAAGGACCUGCGGGAAGUAUGGCUUAAUUAUCCACUACACCCUCUGCAACUGCAAGAAUCUAAUACUGACAGACAGUUGAUUGAGACGUCUCCUGUCCUCCAGAAAUUGACUGAGUUUGAGGAUGCUAUUGGAGUAAUUUUUACUCACGUUCGGCUCUUGGCACGGGCUUUCACUUUGAGAACAGUGGGAUUUAACCAUCUGACGCUGGGCCAUAAUCAGAGAAUGGAGUUCUUGGGUGAUUCCAUAAUGCAGUUGGUGGCCACCGAGUACUUAUUCAUACAUUUCCCUGAUCAUCAUGAAGGCCAC
Molecule: non-coding RNA, 1461 nt
Organism: Python bivittatus (Burmese python)
Lineage: Eukaryota; Metazoa; Chordata; Lepidosauria; Squamata; Pythonidae
Source: RefSeq, a predicted model, not a curated record